ACUUAAAUUGAAGAGUUUGAUCAUGGCUCAGAUUGAACGCUGGCGGCAGGCCUAACACAUGCAAGUCGAACGGUAGCACAGAGAGCUUGCUCUCGGGUGACGAGUGGCGGACGGGUGAGUAAUGUCUGGGAAACUGCCUGAUGGAGGGGGAUAACUACUGGAAACGGUAGCUAAUACCGCAUAACGUCGCAAGACCAAAGAGGGGGACCUUCGGGCCUCUUGCCAUCAGAUGUGCCCAGAUGGGAUUAGCUAGUAGGUGGGGUAAUGGCUCACCUAGGCGACGAUCCCUAGCUGGUCUGAGAGGAUGACCAGCCACACUGGAACUGAGACACGGUCCAGACUCCUACGGGAGGCAGCAGUGGGGAAUAUUGCACAAUGGGCGCAAGCCUGAUGCAGCCAUGCCGCGUGUAUGAAGAAGGCCUUCGGGUUGUAAAGUACUUUCAGCGGGGAGGAAGGUGUUGUGGUUAAUAACCGCAGCAAUUGACGUUACCCGCAGAAGAAGCACCGGCUAACUCCGUGCCAGCAGCCGCGGUAAUACGGAGGGUGCAAGCGUUAAUCGGAAUUACUGGGCGUAAAGCGCACGCAGGCGGUCUGUCAAGUCGGAUGUGAAAUCCCCGGGCUCAACCUGGGAACUGCAUUCGAAACUGGCAGGCUAGAGUCUUGUAGAGGGGGGUAGAAUUCCAGGUGUAGCGGUGAAAUGCGUAGAGAUCUGGAGGAAUACCGGUGGCGAAGGCGGCCCCCUGGACAAAGACUGACGCUCAGGUGCGAAAGCGUGGGGAGCAAACAGGAUUAGAUACCCUGGUAGUCCACGCCGUAAACGAUGUCGACUUGGAGGUUGUUCCCUUGAGGAGUGGCUUCCGGAGCUAACGCGUUAAGUCGACCGCCUGGGGAGUACGGCCGCAAGGUUAAAACUCAAAUGAAUUGACGGGGGCCCGCACAAGCGGUGGAGCAUGUGGUUUAAUUCGAUGCAACGCGAAGAACCUUACCUACUCUUGACAUCCAGAGAACUUUCCAGAGAUGGAUUGGUGCCUUCGGGAACUCUGAGACAGGUGCUGCAUGGCUGUCGUCAGCUCGUGUUGUGAAAUGUUGGGUUAAGUCCCGCAACGAGCGCAACCCUUAUCCUUUGUUGCCAGCGGUUAGGCCGGGAACUCAAAGGAGACUGCCAGUGAUAAACUGGAGGAAGGUGGGGAUGACGUCAAGUCAUCAUGGCCCUUACGAGUAGGGCUACACACGUGCUACAAUGGCGCAUACAAAGAGAAGCGACCUCGCGAGAGCAAGCGGACCUCAUAAAGUGCGUCGUAGUCCGGAUUGGAGUCUGCAACUCGACUCCAUGAAGUCGGAAUCGCUAGUAAUCGUAGAUCAGAAUGCUACGGUGAAUACGUUCCCGGGCCUUGUACACACCGCCCGUCACACCAUGGGAGUGGGUUGCAAAAGAAGUAGGUAGCUUAACCUUCGGGAGGGCGCUUACCACUUUGUGAUUCAUGACUGGGGUGAAGUCGUAACAAGGUAACCGUAGGGGAACCUGCGGUUGGAUCACCUCCUUACCUUAAAGAA
RNAcentral lists this ribosomal RNA (1554 nucleotides) under Leclercia adecarboxylata. Its description in RNAcentral is "bacterial SSU rRNA". It matches the Rfam family "Bacterial small subunit ribosomal RNA". Lineage: Bacteria; Pseudomonadati; Pseudomonadota; Gammaproteobacteria; Enterobacterales; Enterobacteriaceae. The record is from RNAcentral.